UACAGAGGUCUCAAGCGUUGUUCGGAUUCAUUGGACGUAAAGGGUGUGUAGGUGGCGCCGUAAGUCGGGUGUGAAAUUUCGGAGCUUAACUCCGAAACUGCAUUCGAUACUGCGGUGCUUGAGGACUGGAGAGGAGACUGGAAUUCAUGGUGUAGCAGUGAAAUGCGUAGAGAUCAUGAGGAAGACCAGUGGCGAAGGCGGGUCUCUGGACAGUUCCUGACACUGAGACACGAAGGCCAGGGGAGCAAACGGG
Molecule: ribosomal RNA, 253 nt
Filed under: uncultured bacterium
Lineage: Bacteria
Description: partial 16S ribosomal RNA
Rfam family: Bacterial small subunit ribosomal RNA
Source: RNAcentral